This 72-nucleotide transfer RNA is filed under the name Ictidomys tridecemlineatus (thirteen-lined ground squirrel). Its description in RNAcentral is "Spermophilus tridecemlineatus (thirteen-lined ground squirrel) tRNA". It matches the Rfam family "tRNA". From Rfam's summary of the family: Transfer RNA (tRNA) molecules are approximately 80 nucleotides in length. Lineage: Eukaryota; Metazoa; Chordata; Mammalia; Rodentia; Sciuridae. The record is from Rfam by way of RNAcentral.
UGGCAUGUGGCUUAGUGGCAGAAUGCUUGCCUGGCAGGCAUAAAACCCUGGGUUUGAUCCUCGGCAUACCAA